RNAcentral lists this ribosomal RNA (253 nucleotides) under uncultured bacterium. RNAcentral's name for it is "partial 16S ribosomal RNA". It matches the Rfam family "Bacterial small subunit ribosomal RNA", at positions 524 to 776 of the family's 1533-position model. The record is from RNAcentral.
UACGGAGGGUGCAAACGUUGCUCGGAAUCAUUGGGCGUAAAGCGCACGUAGGCGGCUUGUUAAGUCGGAUGUGAAAGCCCUCGGCUCAACCGAGGAAGUGCAUACGAAACUGGCGAGCUUGAAUAUGGAAGAGGGUCGCGGAAUUCCCGGUGUAGAGGUGAAAUUCGUAGAUAUCAGGAGGAACACCGAUGGCGAAGGCAGAUCUCUGGGCCGUAACUGACGCUGAGGAGCGAAAGCAUGGGGAGCGAACAGG